RNAcentral lists this ribosomal RNA (324 nucleotides) under Cryptocellus becki. Its description in RNAcentral is "partial small subunit ribosomal RNA". Lineage: Eukaryota; Metazoa; Arthropoda; Arachnida; Ricinulei; Ricinoididae. The record is from RNAcentral.
GAUUUGGGCAGUGAGAGGUGUUCUUGAAACUUAAAGGUUUUGGCGGUUUUCUUGUUCUUUUCAGAGGAACUUGUUCUUUAAUCGAUGUGCCUCGUGUUAUUUUACUUAAUUUAUGGUGGUUUGUAUAUCGCUGUUGAUGAUGUUUCUGAUGUGCAACAUUAUUUGGUUUGUACCUGUUAAAUCAAGUCAAGGUGCAGCUUAGUUAAGGUUGAAAUGAGUUACUAUGGGUUAUUGUGGAGAGUGCAGUGAGAUUGUAUCUUGAGAUUGGAUUUGAAAGUAAUUUGGAAGUAAGUGAGUUUUAAUGAAAGGAGUUUAAGGAAAUGU